GAAUUUAGGUUAAUACA
Molecule: transfer RNA, 17 nt
Filed under: Staurois latopalmatus (Sabah splash frog)
Lineage: Eukaryota; Metazoa; Chordata; Amphibia; Anura; Ranidae
Description: partial tRNA-Trp
Source: RNAcentral